GGUUAAGUGAAUAAGGGCGCACGGUGGAUGCCUUGGCACUAGGAGCCGAUGAAGGACGGGACUAACACCGAUAUGCUUUGGGGAGCUGUAAGUAAGCUAUGAUCCAGAGAUUUCCGAAUGGGGGAACCCAAUAUCUUUUAUAGGAUAUUACUUUUCAGUGAAUACAUAGCUGAUUAGAGGUAGACGCAGAGAACUGAAACAUCUUAGUACCUGCAGGAAGAGAAAGAAAAUUCGAUUCCCUGAGUAGCGGCGAGCGAAACGGGAAGAGCCCAAACCAACAAGCUUGCUUGUUGGGGUUGUAGGACUCCGAUAUGGUAGUCUGUUAGUAUAGUUGAAGGAUUUGGAAAAUUCCGCUAAAGAGGGUGAAAGCCCCGUAGACGAAAUGCUGACAACACCUAGGAGGAUCCUGAGUACGGCGGAACACGAGAAAUUCCGU
RNAcentral lists this ribosomal RNA (436 nucleotides) under Enterococcus faecalis. RNAcentral describes it as "partial 23S ribosomal RNA". It matches the Rfam family "Bacterial large subunit ribosomal RNA", at positions 1 to 437 of the family's 2925-position model. Lineage: Bacteria; Bacillati; Bacillota; Bacilli; Lactobacillales; Enterococcaceae. The record is from RNAcentral.